GGGAUCGUUGCAGGACACGGGUGUGAGUCUGGGAGCCGUGGGACUCAGGGAGAUUUCUGCUGAUGGCCCCAGGGCUCCUCAAGGCCACCCUGGAAGAGGGAAGCCGAGGGUGCAAUCCUGCAGGUGGGUGGGAAUCGGGGGAAAAGCGACAAGCUCCACAGAAGAUAAAACCUUCUGACAGACCUGCCGGCUGAGGGGAGUGGAGCUGGGAUCAGGCAGCGAACAGCACGGACACACCAGUGGUCAAGGAGAGGCCGGGCAGAGGUCUCCCGGGCACUGUCACUGAUGGGCACUUGCUGAGUCACGGCAGCACUAGCGCAUUCACCGUCCUCACCCCACGUGAUUGGCGCCACCUAACGCGGCAGGUAUGUUUACCCCGGUUUCACAGGUGAGGCACCAGGUCCAGCACCCUGCCCCAGGACCCCAGCAGCAGGUCCACACCCGUGCGACCCCUCGGACCCUGCUCGCCCACCAGCACUGCGUCCAGCAGGUUUGGCUCUGGCACUGCCAUUGACUUGGCUCAUCGACUUGAAACUGGGGCUCCCACUACUGGGUGUGGCACCUGGGCCCUGGGGUUCUUGUGAGGAUAGGGUCCCCCCCGUCCCGGUAUCCACAAACCCAAGC
This 624-nucleotide long non-coding RNA is filed under the name Bos indicus x Bos taurus (hybrid cattle). Its description in RNAcentral is "lncRNA (ENSBIXG00005007904.1)". Lineage: Eukaryota; Metazoa; Chordata; Mammalia; Artiodactyla; Bovidae. The record is from RNAcentral.